This 380-nucleotide ribosomal RNA is filed under the name Nesolagus timminsi (Annamite striped rabbit). Its description in RNAcentral is "partial small subunit ribosomal RNA". It matches the Rfam family "Bacterial small subunit ribosomal RNA", at positions 521 to 1066 of the family's 1533-position model. The record is from RNAcentral. Lineage: Eukaryota; Metazoa; Chordata; Mammalia; Lagomorpha; Leporidae.
UCAUACGAUUAACCCAAGUUAAUAAAUUUCGGCGUAAAGCGUGUUUAGAAGUAAACAAAAAUAAAAUCAAAUAUUGACCAAACUGUAAAAAGUACUAGUCAUAAACAAAACCAGCAACGAAAGCGAUUUUAGAAUCUUUUGAGCACACGAUAGCUAAGACCCAAACUGGGAUUAGAUACCCCACUAUGCUUAGCCUUAAACCUUAAUAAAUUCAUAACAAAAUUAUUCGCCAGAGAACUACAAGCCAGAGCUUAAAACUCAAAGGACUUGGCGGUGCUUUAUACCCACCUAGAGGAGCCUGUUCUAUAAUCGAUAAACCCCGCUAAACCUUACCACUCUUUGCCAACUCAGCUUAUAUACCGCCAUCUUCAGCAAACCCU